GACCAGACUCCUACGGGAGGCAGCAGUGGGGGAUAUUGCACAAUGGGGGAAACCCUGAUGCAGCGACGCCGCGUGGGUGAAGAAGCGCCUCGGCGCGUAAAGCCCUGUCAGCAGGGAAGAAAAUGACGGUACCUGACUAAGAAGCUCCGGCUAAAUACGUGCCAGCAGCCGCGGUAAUACGUAUGGAGCAAGCGUUAUCCGGAAUUACUGGGCGUAAAGGGAGCGUAGGCGGCAAGGCAAGUCUGAUGUGAAAACCCAGGGCCCAACCCUGGGACUGCAUUGGAAACUGUAUUGCUUGAGUACCGGAGAGGCAGGCGGAAUUCCUAGUGUAGCGGUGAAAUGCGUAGAUAUUAGGAGGAACACCAGUGGCGAAGGCGGCCUGCUGGACGGUAACUGACGCUGAGGCUCGAAAGCGUGGGGAGCAAACAGGAUUAGAUACCCCAGUA
RNAcentral lists this ribosomal RNA (446 nucleotides) under uncultured bacterium. RNAcentral describes it as "bacterial SSU rRNA". It matches the Rfam family "Bacterial small subunit ribosomal RNA", at positions 329 to 792 of the family's 1533-position model. The record is from RNAcentral.